CCUACGGGCGACAGCAGUGAGGAAUAUUGGGCAAUGGAGGCAACUCUGACCCAGCCAUGCCGCGUGAGUGAAGAAGGUUUUCGGAUUGUAAAGCUCUUUCGGAUGUGACGAUGAUGACGGUAGCAUCUAAAGAAGCUCCGGCUAACUUCGUGCCAGCAGCCGCGGUAAUACGGAGGGGGCAAGCGUUGUUCGGAAUUACUGGGCGUAAAGGGAGUGUAGGGGGUUUAGUAAGAUAGUUGUGAAAGCCCAGGGCUUAACCUUGGAAUUGCCAUUAUAACUAUUAGACUAGAAUUACAGAGAGGAUAGUGGAAUACCCAGUGUAGCGGUGAAAUGCGUAGAUAUUAGGUAGAACACCAAUGGCGAAGGCGACUAUCUGGCUGUACAUUGACGCUGAGGCUCGAAAGCGUGGGUAUCAAACAGGAUUAGAUACCCUUGUAGUC
Molecule: ribosomal RNA, 440 nt
Filed under: uncultured bacterium
Lineage: Bacteria
Description: partial 16S ribosomal RNA
Rfam family: Bacterial small subunit ribosomal RNA
Source: RNAcentral